UCAGCUUCACCAAAAUCAAUACCUGAUAGUUCACAAGAACUAUUUGUUCAUACACAUCAGAUUGAAAUCCAUCAAGCUAUUGGAGUUCUCCACUAAAUCCACAUCCUUUGAUAUAAAGAGAAUUUGAUAUGACAGACUGCUUUAAAUUCAACUCCUUGUGUACAUGAGUACAUAACUCCCUAUACUAGUUAUCUACACAUCCUUUCAUAUCUGAAACGAACUUGAUAUGACAUAUUGCUUUAAAUUCUACAACUCCUUGUAUACAUUACUCCCUAUACUAGCUAUUUGAACUUGUAAACAGCUCAAUAUACCUUUUAGUCAUGUAAACUAAAGGUCAACUAAAAGUUCACCUUGAAGUUGAACUGAAAGCAAGCUGACAUGUUCUGCUAGCUCCUUCCCAUUGUAUAUUUUACCUGAUCAAGUGACCAAAUUAACUAAAUCUGAGCAGAAAUCAUACAUGAGUUCAGUUUGAUUUAGAACAAAGCAAAGAAGCGCUGCUAUAAUUCUGGUGCACACAAAGGCCUUAAAUUAGUACCUGUUAAAGAACUUAUCUACUCCUGAAGUAGAAACAACUAUCAGUUGAAGAAAACACAUAGGCUUAGUGUUACUAGUCAAUUUAAGAAAACAAGUGCUGAUGUAAUAAGCUGAGCCAAUCAUUGCCGAAUCAGAUGUUUGUAGCCCAUCAUUCUUCAGCAAAUUUUGAAUUCUUUAGAUUAACAAAUUUUUACUUCACAUGUUCCUUUUUCAUGCUGUUUCAGUUGCAAGUCAAUAAAAUUUCUUCACUGAAAUUCUUGAUUUCCUAAUUACUAGAUUUGUUUGUGUGCAGAUAGGUAUGUUACAAAACACUGUAUCCAUUUGGAACAAAGUUAAAGUAUAAGAAGCCCAUUUUAUGUGUAAGCAAGAGAGUUUAGCCGUGUCUAACUUACCAAAAAUGUUGACAUCAACAAGCUUAAUUUGCAGACAAAGUUCCGUGUCUUCUCAUUGGAUCUCAACAAAUGAUCAUACUUUAUUUUACUGCAGGGACAAUAUCAUAGGCAUUCAAGGGAGUGAUGCUUGUAGAAAACUAAAUAACAAGAUCCAAAAUACAUGAACUCAUACUCAAGGCACACCUAGUAGUUGAUUCCUUAUCAAUUGCACAAGUGUCGCAAUUUUAAUUACCUCUGAUAGACAAAUAAAAGGUCAAAUCGUUUCCUGUUGAGAAACACAUGAAUAAAAGAGAAAAGUCUCGUCAGAUCUGUGGCUUCCAAAUCAUCAUCAAUCUCUAAAGAACAAAAGACAAACAAAGAAAAAUUUGAAGGCGUAUCAAGAGACAUUGAGCUGAUUGAGAUGAAGUGAGUAGACGGGGUGAGAAUCUCACCACAUCGGGUGCCGGAAUCCGUGAGCGGCGCCUCCAUCUGCGAGGCGUGCAGGACCUUCUGCGCCACCUCCAGUGUCAGGCUGGCCGCCGGCAGCACUACAUCCACCUCCUGCUUGGCCGGCGUCGGCGCAGUGGGGAGCGCGAGUGGAUCUCGAAGGAGGACAGGCAGCGACGAGGGGCGAAAUGAAGGAGGACAGCGGCGGUAGAGGCAGAGGCAGCGGCAGCGGCGGACGGUGAGGUCCGGGAGACGAGGUCGUGGAUGCAGCGGCGGCCGCGGGUGGGCGCGAGAUGCGGCCGAGGGUGGGGUAGGUGCGUGCGAGAUGCGGAGAGGAGGGGAUAAGGAUAGGAUUUGGAGCGGAGCGUUGCUUCCUGUCGGUUCAUGUAACCCCGUCAGGAGCCUCUUGGUUUCCGGUAGUGAUCGGCCUGAGCGACGAGGCCGCCGGAAGCCUCGCGGCGGAGCUCGGCUUCCCCAGGAGCCGCCUGGAGGCCAGGGCCCAGAUCAAGAUCGCGCACCGGGAAGCCAUGGUCCUCCUCCUGACCUUCCGCUACCACUGCAUCAACAGGCGCUCCUACUACCUCGCCUACGACUCCACCGACGUGUCGCUCCGCAUGAUCCCGUACCUACCGCGCGGGCUCAAGGCCACCUACACGCUGGCCGCCGUCCCCGUGCGCGGCGGCGCCGGCGCGGGCCUCGCGCUGGCCCUCAUGGCGCGUCUGGUCGGCCCCCAGGACGUCGGCAGC
This 2098-nucleotide long non-coding RNA is filed under the name Setaria italica (foxtail millet). RNAcentral describes it as "long non-coding RNA (SITA_LNC006485)". Lineage: Eukaryota; Viridiplantae; Streptophyta; Magnoliopsida; Poales; Poaceae. The record is from RNAcentral.